Long non-coding RNA from Gigantopelta aegis, 422 nucleotides. RefSeq lists it as uncharacterized. The transcript is spliced from 3 exons. Lineage: Eukaryota; Metazoa; Mollusca; Gastropoda; Neomphalida; Peltospiridae. The record is from RefSeq and is a predicted model, not a curated record.
AUACUGUAACAUUAUGUAGCCUCACUCUCUUCCUCAACAGACACAUUCCCAAGCCAAAACAGAUUAUACGGUCUGUGUGGAAAAGCAACAAGUUUAUCCAAGGUGCCUACAGCUUCAUACAUUCCGGUCCUACUAACAUAGCAGAUCAUGAUCUGCUUGGAAAACCUCUGCCUUCUUCUGAGGACCCUGUGUUGUUAUUUGCUGGUGAGGCUUACAGUUCACGCCACUUCUCAUCCGCCCAUGGUGCUGUGCAGACUGGGGAGGACGCAGCAAGAACCAUACUGAAUAUGUACAAGAAAUAGAGGAGAAACACGAUGAACAAUUAUGUAGCAGCCUUAGUGGUGUAGUGGUUAAACCAUGAAAAUUAAAGCAUUAAAAUAAAGUUAAAAUUAAAUGAAAUUAAAAGUACCAAUAUAGGAAAA